This is a long non-coding RNA of Numida meleagris (helmeted guineafowl), 1609 nucleotides long. RefSeq lists it as uncharacterized. Lineage: Eukaryota; Metazoa; Chordata; Aves; Galliformes; Numididae. The transcript is spliced from 3 exons. The record is from RefSeq and is a predicted model, not a curated record.
AGAUUUGUCCAAGUUUCAAUACCUCUGUUCCCUAUGUGAAGAAUAAGAGAGGACGUAUUUUGUACAACCUCUCAGGGUUGAUUGUGGAAGAAUAUUUAGUGAGACCUUCCAACAAAGCAAGAUAUGGUGGUUGGUCUUUUGGUGGGAAGAAAGCUUCUGAAUAUCAAGAACAAAAACGGAAUAACGUCAAAUCUAAGCCUCUGGUUAAGGUGGGAGCAUAGGAAACCGUGAAGACCAUGUAACGAACAGAGUAGAAAAUGUGAAAGCUACUGUAAGCAAGAGCAGUGAUACUUGACCAAAGUUGGACAUUUGGGAAAAAAUACUGAAUGGAGCUUAUGGCAAAGAAGAUUUGAGGAUAAGAGACACAGAAGAAGGAUGGUCAAGCUCAGAUUAGUGUUUGACAGCAUGGUAUGGUAUAGGGUAGGGAGGGAGCUAAGUGGGAGGAUUUUGGUGUUUCGGACCUUGCCUCACAAGAGAAUACAGUGGGAAGAUCCAAGUAAGUAGAUAGUGUGGAAAAUAAAUUCAGAAGUAAAGAAUUAUUAGGAGAGGGAAAUAGAACUGGAGUAGAUAGCCUGCACUAGAAAGCAUGGAGAAGAUGACAGAAAAGCCAAAGUUUGCAUCUUAGUGCCCAAGUAAGGAUUUUUGCUGGAUUCUAAAAGGAAAAAACACACUAUUAUCUGCAACUAAAUUGAAAAAAAAAAAAGCACAGUAGCAUCAAGAAAAGGCAGAUAUAUGUGGAGGAGGACUAGAUGAAAAGAGCAUCUGAGUGAUGGAAAAGUAUUAUUCAUGGAAGUUUCCAAGACGUAACUGUAGUUUCAGAACAGGUUUAGGAAAAACGAAAUCCUGGAAGAUUAAGUUAAGGCAAGAGAGACCUACAUUAAAAAACAUAUACUUUGACAUGUUACUCAUAGUCCAGAGACAAAGUGAGAACUGCCCAGUGGCAACCUGAGAUGAACAAAAUGCAAAUUAGCAAAAUAAUUGAUAGCAAAUAGGAAAAGGAUAAGAGUUUGUCAACUGCAUAAACAAAAAAGGAAGAUUAAAGCUUGCUGUGCAGUGAGGAGUGGAUGGUAAUUGAAGAUGAUUUGAAAUGUGUUACCAAAACUGAAAACAAACUUCCUUUGUUUUCUCUGACCUAGUUUUCAGUAUGGAUAAUAUGGGGUUAAAGGCACUUUGAUUAGCAGUUAAGGAGGCAUAGAAAUGAAAUUGAUUUCCAAAGGAAAAGGAAAACUGAGACCUCAGUAUACUUGGUUUAAGGACAUAAUUAGCCUAUCGGCAUUGAUUCUUGCACAUGGAAACCUAAGAGAGUAUGCAUUUUGAGUAGAUUUAUCAAGUUGGAGCAAUUCUUCCUGAUUUGAAGCUAAAGUAUAUGUUACAUCAGAAAUGCUUCCUUAUGAUCCUCAGACUUGCCUUAUCUGCUUUAGAGUUUAUUGUAUUUACUUUUCUCCUCGCUCAGGAAACUAAGGAUAAUUGGUUGUUAAAGGUGAAGACACAACUUUUCCUUCAUGGCAUAGUUUCAUACUCACUGUGUAAGCAGUGCAUCCUUGUUUCUUUCUUUCCCAGCUUUCUUGGACGUGGUAUGUUUCCAGACAUUUUAUGCUAUAUGUCGCUU